GACGAACGCUGGCGGCGUGCUUAACACAUGCAAGUCGAACGGAAAGGCCCUGCUUUUGUGGGGUGCUCGAGUUGCGAACGGGUGAGUAACACGUGAGUAACCUGCCCUUGACUUUGGGAUAACUUCAGGAAACUUGGGCUAAUACCGGAUAGGAGCUCCUGCUGCAUGGUGGGGGUUGGAAAGUUUCGGCGGUUGGGGAUGGACUCGCGGCUUAUCAGCUUGUUGGUGGGGUAGUGGCUUACCAAGGCUUUGACGGGUAGCCGGCCUGAGAGGGUGACCGGCCACAUUGGGACUGAGAUACGGCCCAGACUCCUACGGGAGGCAGCAGUGGGGAAUAUUGCACAAUGGGCGGAAGCCUGAUGCAGCAACGCCGCGUGCGGGAUGACGGCCUUCGGGUUGUAAACCGAUUUCGCCUGUGACGAAGCGUGAGUGACGGUAAUGGGUAAAGAAGCACCGGCUAACUACGUG
Molecule: ribosomal RNA, 468 nt
Filed under: uncultured bacterium
Lineage: Bacteria
Description: partial 16S ribosomal RNA
Rfam family: Bacterial small subunit ribosomal RNA
Source: RNAcentral